RNAcentral lists this ribosomal RNA (774 nucleotides) under uncultured Neocallimastigales. RNAcentral's name for it is "partial large subunit ribosomal RNA". It matches the Rfam family "Eukaryotic large subunit ribosomal RNA", at positions 24 to 628 of the family's 3401-position model. Lineage: Eukaryota; Fungi; Neocallimastigomycota; Neocallimastigomycetes; Neocallimastigales. The record is from RNAcentral.
UAUGUGAUCGUCUCUCGCAUAUCAAUAAGCGGAGGAAAAGAAACUAACAAGGAUUCCCCUAGUGACGGCGAGUGAAGCGGGAAGAGCUCAAAUUUGAAAUCUUAAAGGGUUUCCCUUUACGAGUUGUAGUUUAAAGAAGUGUUUUCUGUUGAGGUUUUGGUAAAAGUUCUUUGGAAUAGGACAUCAUAGAGGGUGAGAAUCCCGUAUUUGACCUUUACUUUCAACUUUGUGAUACACUUUCAAAGAGUCGGAUUGUUUGGGAAUGCAGUCCAAAAUGGGUGGUAAAUUUCAUCUAAAGCUAAAUAUUGGCGAGAGACCGAUAGCGAACAAGUACCGUGAGGGAAAGAUGAAAAGAACUUUGAAAAGAGAGUUAAACAGUACGUGAAAUUGUCAAAAGGGAAGCGUUUGACACCAGUGUUGUUUUUCUGAAAAUCAAUUAAAGAACUGUUUAUGCUAAGUUGUUUAGACUUUAUCAGCUAACUGUUUAGUUUUGAGCUUUUCUUUAAUGCACUUUUCAGUUAACAAGUCAACAUCAAUUUCUUUUGCUGUAAAAAAGCUUGAGGAAGGUGGCUUGAGAUUCGUCUUAAGUGUUUAUAGCCUCUUGCCUAUGCAGUUGGAGAGAUUGAGGUCUGCAGCGUAGAUCCUUCGGGGCUAAAUGCAUUUGUGCUAAGUUAUAGCAUUUUAUAGACAACUUGUUGACUAUGAUUUGUCUUGUAGCUUACUCGCUUAUGUUAUUUUACCUACGCUUAGGAUGUUGAGUCGUAGAGCACGCAG